This 76-nucleotide transfer RNA is filed under the name Companilactobacillus sp. RD055328. RNAcentral describes it as "tRNA-Arg". It matches the Rfam family "tRNA". Rfam says of the family: Transfer RNA (tRNA) molecules are approximately 80 nucleotides in length. The record is from RNAcentral. Lineage: Bacteria; Bacillati; Bacillota; Bacilli; Lactobacillales; Lactobacillaceae.
UGUCGCAGUGGCUCAGCUGGAUAGAGCAACGGUCUUCUAAACCGUAGGUCAUGAGUUCGAAUCUCAUCUGUGACAU